UCCCAAAAAUUUUCAAUUUGCCAUCCUCCCAAAACUCCCGCUGCUUUCCAAAGACCUAAUUCAUUAUUCCCACAUGAUCUCUCAACUAAAAUUCAUAAUCGAUCUCUUCUCCAAAAUCAACUCAUAUGGUUUCCUACCUAUAAUCCCAAUCGUUUGACUGUGCUUGCCCGCGAGCGACCACCAAUCGACCGUUUGCAGUAGUUCGACUUGAGCAAUCAACCCAUUCAAUUGCUUCAACUACAACAAUCAAUCACGUUCCAAUCGACCCCUUUUGAAAGGUUUGAAGUUGCACGCCAACUGCUCGAUGAAAUGCUUCAUCCAAACUGAUUUUUAAUUUCAUAUGCCUUUUUAUGAGGGGGAGCUGCUUACCAUGGGCCAUUUUUUGGGAUCAUUGUGGAUUAUCUAAAGAGAGAAGUUACUAUUAUAGAAAGUGUUCUUAAGAAUCUAGUUUGUUGUUGAAUCUUUAACAAAAUGUCAAAUGCUUAUAUUUGCGGUGCU
Molecule: long non-coding RNA, 498 nt
Organism: Helianthus annuus (common sunflower)
Lineage: Eukaryota; Viridiplantae; Streptophyta; Magnoliopsida; Asterales; Asteraceae
Exons: 3
Source: RefSeq, a predicted model, not a curated record